CUUGCUGAAAGAUACAUACAACGACGAAAAUGGUUUUUUGGAACUUUUAUUAAAUAUAAUUUAAAUAUUAUUUACGUAUCAUUGGCGAGGAAAUAGUAAUUUAGCGAUGAAAAAUGUAUUAGAUUAGGCGAGGAAAAAUAUUGUGGCUAAAGAAUAAUAGCGAGAAAAGAAUAUAUUCAUCGCUAAAAGGAUUUCGCGAGGAAAAAAUAUUUUCCUCGUAAAAACUUUUCUUGACCACCGUACCGCGAGGAACUGGUGACCAAAGUUUUUUCCUCGCUAAAACACUACGGCGAAGAAAUAUAAGUUUUUAACGACAAAUUUGUUCCUCGCCAAUUGACUUUUCUGUUGUAGUGGCUCUUUCACUUUCUCUCUCCUUAUACAUGUUGAAGUGGUAAGGCUAAAAUUGUUUAAAAAUAUAUAAAAAUUAUUAUUUUAUUAUGACUUUAAUAUAGAUUUGUGUAUUUGGGUACAAAUAAGAACACCUUAUAUUGGAAUGAGCUCAUGUCUAUUAAAUUCAUUGGAAUGAGCAAUAAGGGGUUUAAAUUAGUAUUAAAUGAGCAUUUUUCCUAAAAAUUAGGCAUGAAACUAUGAUACUACGUACCUAAUACAUAGUGUACAAGAGUGCUUAAACGUAAUUAGAUCAGCUAAAAACAUAUUAAGGUAAUAACACAAAGCUAUACAAUUUUCAAGCUACCAAGGCAUGCGGCCCACCAAAGAAAUCCACACAAGGCCCAGAUCGAAAUUGAUGUGGACCAGUCCACCAUCAGCCUUCUCCCUGUCACACCCGGCCAAAACCACUGCCAUGUCUCUUGUCAUCUCCUCGAUCAGAUCCACGUCGUCGUCCCAUCGCUGAUGAUCCACACGACCACAAGCCACACAACCCUAUCCUACCUCUAUACUAGCACAGAUAUGAAACUCCAACACAGUUUUUGGAUCCCAAACGACCAACAACUAACCUCAAAGAAGUCUCUAUCCGGCCAAGCAUAACCACCAAUCUUCAAUUAACCUCGCUCGAGCAGAAGACAUUGUUAGACAACAUCCCAGGAGCAAUAGCAUUCGAAUACCACAAAUAUUAGUUGAUCUCGUCCGGCAGCAGACCCUAGACGAGGUGGCGGAGGCCGAAGACCUCUGCCAACGUCUGGGCGCNNNN
This 1150-nucleotide long non-coding RNA is filed under the name Fragaria vesca (wild strawberry). Its description in RNAcentral is "long non-coding RNA (FVES_LNC005447)". The record is from RNAcentral. Lineage: Eukaryota; Viridiplantae; Streptophyta; Magnoliopsida; Rosales; Rosaceae.